GAGUAAUCCUUGUAAACCUCGACGGCAUGUGCGCCGAAAAUCUCGCUCUUCAUGACUUCGGAAAAUCCGAGAAUGGCGUUGAGCGGUGUGCGCAAUUCGUGACUCAUCUGGGCGAGAAAGCGCGACUUCGAAACGUUGGCGGAUUCUGCCCGGUAGCGUGCCUCGUCGGAGAUAGCCUUGGCCUGUUCGAGUUCGCCGAUCAGCGCA
Molecule: unclassified non-coding RNA, 207 nt
Filed under: Hevea brasiliensis (rubber tree)
Lineage: Eukaryota; Viridiplantae; Streptophyta; Magnoliopsida; Malpighiales; Euphorbiaceae
Source: RNAcentral